GAUGAAGAACGUAGCGAAAUGAGAUACUUGGUGUGAAUUGCAGAAUCCCGUGAACCAUCGAGUCUUUGAACGCAAGUUGCGCCCGAAGCCAUCAGGUUGAGGGCACGUCUGCCUGGGCGUCACAUAUCGUUGCCCAAUGCCUAUUGCAGUGCAAUAGGAAUUUCUAGGGCGAAUGAUGGCUUCCCGUGAGCGUUGUUGCCUCGCGGUUGGUUGAAAAUCGAGUCCUUGGUAGGGUGUGCCAUGGUAGAUGGUGGUCGAGUUAGAACGAUACCGAUCAUGUGCAUGCUCCCCAAAAUAUGGCCUCUAUGACCCACACGCGUCUUUUGACGCUCAUGACGAGACCUCAGGUCAGGCGGGGCUACCCGCUGAAUUUAAGCAUAUCAAUAAGCGGAGGA
Molecule: unclassified non-coding RNA, 395 nt
Filed under: soil metagenome
Description: partial contains 5.8S ribosomal RNA, internal transcribed spacer 2, and large subunit ribosomal RNA
Rfam family: 5.8S ribosomal RNA (bases 1-122)
Source: RNAcentral